This 253-nucleotide ribosomal RNA is filed under the name uncultured bacterium. RNAcentral's name for it is "partial 16S ribosomal RNA". It matches the Rfam family "Bacterial small subunit ribosomal RNA", at positions 524 to 776 of the family's 1533-position model. The record is from RNAcentral.
UACGGGGGGUGCAAGCGUUGUUCGGAAUUACUGGGCGUAAAGGGCUCGUAGGCGGCCAACUAAGUCAUACGUGAAAUCCCUCAGCUUAACUGGGGAACUGCGUCUGAGACUGGAAGGCUUGAGUGCAGGAGAGGAACGCGGAAUUCCAGGUGUAGCGGUGAAAUGCGUAGAUAUCUGGAGGAACACCGGUGGCGAAGGCGGCGUUCUGGACUGCAACUGACACUGAGGAACGAAAGCCAGGGGAGCGAACAGG